RNAcentral lists this ribosomal RNA (700 nucleotides) under uncultured bacterium. Its description in RNAcentral is "bacterial SSU rRNA". It matches the Rfam family "Bacterial small subunit ribosomal RNA", at positions 8 to 708 of the family's 1533-position model. The record is from RNAcentral.
AGAGUUUGAUCAUGGCUCAGGAUGAACGCUGGCGGCGUGCCUAACACAUGCAAGUCGAGCGAGAAGAUUAUGAUGGAUCCUUCGGGUGACAGAUUAAUUGGAAAGCGGCGGACGGGUGAGUAACGCGUGGGCAACCUGCCCUAUACAAAGGGAUAGCCACUGGAAACGGUGAUUAAUACCUUAUAAGACUACAGCAGCGCAUGCUGAAGUAGUCAAAGCUCCGGCGGUAUAGGAUGGGCCCGCGUUUGAUUAGCUAGUUGGUGAGGUAACGGCUCACCAAGGCGACGAUCAAUAGCCGACCUGAGAGGGUGAUCGGCCACACUGGAACUGAGACACGGUCCAGACUCCUACGGGAGGCAGCAGUGGGGAAUAUUGCACAAUGGGCGCAAGCCUGAUGCAGCAACGCCGCGUGAGUGAUGAAGGUCUUCGGAUUGUAAAACUCUGUUCUUGGGGAAGAAUAAAUGACGGUACCCAAGGAGAAAGUCCCGGCUAACUACGUGCCAGCAGCCGCGGUAAUACGUAGGGGACAAGCGUUAUCCGGAAUCACUGGGCGUAAAGGGUGCGUAGGCGGUCUAGCAAGUCAGAAGUGAAAGGCAUUGGCUCAACCAAUGUAAGCUUUUGAAACUGUUAGACUUGAGUGCAGGAGAGGAAAGUGGAAUUCCUAGUGUAGCGGUGAAAUGCGUAGAUAUUAGGAGGAACA